This 266-nucleotide ribosomal RNA is filed under the name uncultured bacterium. RNAcentral describes it as "partial 16S ribosomal RNA". It matches the Rfam family "Bacterial small subunit ribosomal RNA", at positions 793 to 1055 of the family's 1533-position model. The record is from RNAcentral.
GUCCACGCUGUAAACGAUGAAUACUAGGUGUGGGAGGACUGACCCCUUCCGUGCCGCAGUUAACACAAUAAGUAUUCCACCUGGGGAGUACGACCGCAAGGUUGAAACUCAAAGGAAUUGACGGGGGCCCGCACAAGCAGUGGAUUAUGUGGUUUAAUUCGACGCAACGCGAAGAACCUUACCAGGACUUGACAUCCAACUAACGAAGUAGAGAUACAUUAGGUGCCCUUCGGGGAAAGUUGAGACAGGUGGUGCAUGGUUGUCGU